UUGGAAGUAAAUAAAUACCCUAUUUCCUCGAAUAAUUGCCUUGGCUGGAAUAAUCACUCAAGUACCCGCCCACUGAAGAGCUUAGUGGCAACAUGUUGUUUUGAAAUUGUCUCGUCCUUCCAAUAAUCCGUCCUCCCUAUCUCGCUCGACAUCUUCUGUGCUGUGUGUGUUUGAUUUGUCAAAUCAAAAUCAUCAAAGUUACCACUGCUGUGUUUACUGUCUUUGAAUAAACCAGCCCUCUCCCUGCGUUAAGAUAUUCCUCAAUAGCAGGAGUUCGUCGUAUCUCAGAUGUACUUUGUAAGACUUGGAGUGAACUAUGUCUAAAAUAAUUCUCUUUCCCCGAAUAAUCGUCCUCUUCUGAUGCUUUGAAAACGUUAAUAGCCAGUGUGUUAUUUGAGGAAAGGCAAAACCUUGUUUUAUUCAAACCGAAUAAGUAAGCUUAUCUCGCUACUUUUUGUGGAGAAGAGAUUUUAGCGAACAAAAAUAAUAAUGUCUCACAAAGAGAAGUUUGUCUGUUAAGGCUGAUUUGAGAGUGAUACUGAGAAGGCGACUGGCACAGACUACUUGUCUUGUUUGUUUUCUUUUUUUGUGCAGGAACUUCACGAGCUUGUUAGACUCCAUCAUGAGGUUCAGCUGCUCAGUCUUCAGCUGCACGUGAGACAGCUCGGCGGUGAAAAGCUGCUGCCCCUGUUAGAGCCUGAAGAUGGAUCCAUCAGACAGGUCAGGUUAAACCCAAGAACUUGAGCUUGUGCAUUUGUACCCUUGUAUUGUGUGACGCACGGUCUUCUUUGUGGCGGUGGCAAGGUUUUUCCAGCCAUGGUCCUUGAUAACUUUUGACGCAAAACGUGUAUGUGACUAGUCACAUGUCCCUGCAAGAAGAACAGCAGCCUACUUGUACCGAGAUAGUGCCAAGUCAUCUAAUUUAUUCACCGAAAGACUCAGGAAGACUUUGAUUUGAAAUUUUUGAUGUGAUAACUCCCGCAUCAGAAUAAAAUGUAACGAAUAAAAUUUCUAGAGUUUG
Unclassified non-coding RNA from Orbicella faveolata, 1021 nucleotides. The record is from RefSeq and is a predicted model, not a curated record. NCBI's taxonomy places the organism in Eukaryota, Metazoa, Cnidaria, Anthozoa, Scleractinia, Merulinidae.